This 225-nucleotide non-coding RNA is filed under the name Serratia proteamaculans. Its description in RNAcentral is "TPP". It matches the Rfam family "TPP riboswitch aptamer (THI element)". Rfam says of the family: Vitamin B(1) in its active form thiamin pyrophosphate (TPP) is an essential coenzyme that is synthesised by coupling of pyrimidine and thiazole moieties in bacteria. The previously detected thiamin-regulatory element, thi box was extended, resulting in a new, highly conserved RNA secondary structure, the THI element, which is widely distributed in eubacteria and also occurs in some archaea. The record is from RNAcentral. Lineage: Bacteria; Pseudomonadati; Pseudomonadota; Gammaproteobacteria; Enterobacterales; Yersiniaceae.
GCCGUCUCAACGGGGUGCAAAAAACGAUUUAUUGCUGAGAUAUACCCAAAAUAAUUGGAGUUGCAGGUAGGCGGCGACCGAGCGAAUCCCCAACAACAUAGAAUUACUAUGUGACUGGGGUGAGAGAGAGAAGCCAACACCGCUGCAACUUCAAGUAUGAAGGGGAUAAACCCGUCGAACCUGAUCCGGUCAAUACCGGCGGAGGGAUUUGAGCCCAGCGAACCG